CACCUCUCAAGUCCUCCUUCCUCACUUCACCUGAGUCCUCUUUACUGACACCAUGGGUUGCUGUGGUUGUGGAAGUUGUGGUGGCUGCGGUGGUGGCUGUGGUGGCUGCGGUGGUGGCUGCGGUGGUGGCUGCGGUGGUGGCUGUGGCAGCUGCACCACCUGCAGGCUUCUCUGAUUUGAAAGUCACAAGAAGUUUUAUCCACAUUCCCUGGUCUCUGAGAUCCUGCCUGCACGUGAAAACCACCAACACAAACCUUCUCUAUCAAUCACCAAUCAAAGUAUGAGUCCAAAAAAAAACAGAGGGAUAUUUUUAAUGCUAUGUUUUCUUGAAAUUUUACUGUUGAAAUGUUUGUUUCCAUUCCUUUUCCCUCCUUUCUGUAGUUUCUGUAUCCUGCAUGUCUGCUCCUGCUUUCUGUUUCUGUAAACCUGAGACAAUAUUUUCCCAAUUAACCACAUAAAAUUGGCAUUAAAGAUUCAUGGACAUCUCCUUCUUUCUUUCAUUCUUCUAAUGUGUCUAAAGGAAAGAUGCGAUGAAAUCUAG
RNAcentral lists this long non-coding RNA (541 nucleotides) under Homo sapiens (human). Its description in RNAcentral is "HSALNT0309344". Lineage: Eukaryota; Metazoa; Chordata; Mammalia; Primates; Hominidae. The record is from RNAcentral.